Molecule: ribosomal RNA, 253 nt
Filed under: uncultured bacterium
Lineage: Bacteria
Description: partial 16S ribosomal RNA
Rfam family: Bacterial small subunit ribosomal RNA
Source: RNAcentral
GACGGAGGAUGCGAGCGUUAUCCGGAAUGAUUGGGCGUAAAGCGUCCGCAGGUGGCAGUUCAAGUCUGCUGUCAAAGACCGGGGCUUAACUUCGGAAAGGCAGUGGAAACUGAACAGCUAGAGUAUGGUAGGGGAGAUCGGAAUUCCUGGUGUAGCGGUGAAAUGCGCAGAUAUCAGGAGGAACACCGGUGGCGAAGGCGGAUCUCUGGGCCUUACCUGACGCUCAGGCACGAAAGCUAGGGGAGCGAACAGG